UGCCACAGCCAUAUCACCCUGCAGCCCAAGACUGGUUGCCCACUGAAGCUAAGCAGGGUUGAGCCUGGUCAGUACCUGGAUGGGAGACCUCUUGGGAAAACUAGGUUGCUGUUGGAA
RNAcentral lists this ribosomal RNA (117 nucleotides) under Sinocyclocheilus grahami. Lineage: Eukaryota; Metazoa; Chordata; Actinopteri; Cypriniformes; Cyprinidae. The record is from RNAcentral.